This is a long non-coding RNA of Astyanax mexicanus (Mexican tetra), 5082 nucleotides long. RefSeq lists it as uncharacterized. The transcript has 2 exons. The record is from RefSeq and is a predicted model, not a curated record. NCBI's taxonomy places the organism in Eukaryota, Metazoa, Chordata, Actinopteri, Characiformes, Acestrorhamphidae.
AGAGUUUUAAUGAAUGUAGUUUUUAUAUAGUUUUUAUAUAUGUGUGAAUGAGGUGUUGAAGGGGUUGCGAACUGGGAAACCGAAUCAUUUCACUGAAUAUAUUUUAUUUUAUUCAAGUGCCUUUAAGUUUUUUAAGAAAAGAAAACCAAACAAAAAAAUAUUUUUGGGGGGUAUUUUUAUUUUUUAGUGUUGGUUUUUAAGGUAUCAAAUUUAUGAUUUAUAGGAUUGUGAUGAUGGAUGUAAAUGUUACACUGUAUUGCCAGAAGUAUGAGCUUGAGUUCAAUCCAGUUCUUAAUCCAUUGGGUUUAAUAUGAUAUCAGUUUAUCUUUUACUCCUCUGGGAAUGUUUUCCACAAGGUUUAGGAGUGUGUUUAUUGUCAUUUUUUACUUUUUUAUUGGACGAGAAGACCUGAAUCAGUCCCCAAUCAGAUUCAUCCCAAUGGUUUUCUAUCAGAGGUCAGGACAGUUCAAGUUCUUCCUCUACUCCAAUCUCUCAAACUCAAAGAUCAUCCAUGUCUUUUUAGAUCUUGCUUUUUGCACUGAUGAAAACGAAAAGUGGUCCACAAACUGGUGACAGUUAUUUAAAAAUCCAUGAAAUUGUCUAAAAUCUGUUGGUUUUCUGAAGCAUUGAGAGUUCCUUGCACUCUUGCUUUCACGGGUCGAACCCACCUCCUGCAAAACAACCCAAAAACAAACUAAUGAUCCCCCCUCAGCCAAACUUUACGCUCAUUACAGGGUUCCUGUGGGUCCUUAGAAUGUCUUAAAAAGGCUUAAAAGGUCUUAAAAAGGCUUAGAAAAGUCUUAAAUAACUAAGGUUGGUGAAGAGGUAUCUAACAUUAGCUGAAAGGUAGCUAAGGUUAGCAGAGAGCUAGCUAACAUUUAGUGGCGGAUUAGCUAGCCAACAUGCUAACAUAUUAACUUCACCGAUGAGUCAGCUAACUGGGAGGUCAUAAUAAGUUUUGACUAAGACUAUAAUAAAUAAUAAUUUUAGGCUGCAUAAUUUUCCACUUUUAACUUCCAAUACAAUCAAUUAUUUUCUACCAAAGAAAUUAUGACAACUUUUUGGAUCUUAAAUAAUAUAUUUUUUUAGGUCCUAAAAACAUUAAAUUUGACUUUUAAAAUGACUUUUCCAUCGUAUUGUUAGUUGGAGAGGCGUGAUUCAUCACUAUAGAGACCACUGAAUUCACCACUGAACUCACCAACUUUCUAGAAAUAACGAACUUUCUAGAAAUAGUAAAAUGUAAGCGUAAAAAUCAAAAUCUGCAAUAUGAGCAAUAUCAUAUUACCGCCAACAUCCUCCUUCCCCCUCAGUAAGAGUGAGAAUAUUGAAGAUGGCUUGUAGCUGAAUCUUCCAGCAUGACAAUGACCCGGGACACACCUGAGAUAUUUUAACUAGUAUUUGUAGAAGCACCUACAGGAACACCUGAGUGAAUAUUUUUGGCAAUAUAGUGUAGAUUUGAUGAUGAUCUAUGUCUGAUCAGGUUUUUCGAAUAGAAUCAAUUGUCCUUCUUCUUAGAAAUAACGAACUUUCUAGAAAUAACAAACUUUCUAGAAGUAACAGAUUUUAUAGAAGUACCGAACUUUCUAGACGUAACGAACUUUCUAGAAAUAGUAAGAAGUAAGAGUAAGAAUAUUGAAGAUGGGUCGUCGCUGAAUCUUCCAGCAUGACAAUGACCCGAGACACACCCGAGGUAUCUUUACUAAUGUUUGUAUAAGCACCUGCAGGAACACCUGAAUAAAGUGAAUAUAUUUUUGGCAAUACAGUGUAGAUUUGAUGAUGAUCUACUAUGUCUGAUCAGGUUUUUAGAAUUGAAUCGAUUAUCUUGGACCUAUAGUUCCAUUGCUAAAAGCAAUAAUUGAACCACUAAUAUGUGCCUAACAAACCACCAGCACUUCACUAUUACUGGAAGACAUAAUUUAUCACAUGAUAAAUCAGCAAUACGAGCAAUAUCCGGUUAUAUCUGCGUAAAUCAGCUUUAUUUGAGAAAUUAGGUUUUAUAUCAGUGACUGUAGAAAACAUGGAGACUUUUUUUUUUCUAUAGAAAUUACUGUACAAUUUGCAACCAGAGCCAAUCAACACAGUAGAAAAAAGAGGCGGAGCCAGAUUUGGUAGAACCGCCCCUUUUUUCCCAAACCAAGUGUUACAGUCUCAGGCUGCCUUCCUUGAGCAGUUCACAGUAAUGGUCCCCAACAAUAAUAAUAUCGCCAACAUUUUUUAAUAUCGUAAAUGAUAUCGUACCCUGAAAUAUCGCCCACCCCUAAUUAUUUCACACUGUUCUCAUUAUUCCUCAUUAUAUAUCUACUAGAGACAGAUUAUAUCUGUACAGUAUCAUUUAUUCUACUUUAAUCCUGGAUAUAUGAAGUGCAUUUUAAGUAUCAUGACAUUCUGGAUCAUUGACUUUAUCUGUUACAAAUCUGAUCAAAUUCUUGUAUUUUUUUAAUAUCUCGGAUAUUAUAUCGUAUACAGCAAUAAAAUGUAAUUUGCAUUAUGUUGCAGUAGUGCAUUCUUGAAAAAAAAAAAAAUAUAUAUAUAUAUUGUUUGUUUUUAAAAUCGGUUUUGUCAUAUCGCCAAAAGUAUCGUUAUUGUGAAAAUAAUAUGAAAUAUUGUAAUAAUAUUUUAGGGACAUAUCGACCACCCCUAGUUCAUGCACAGUAUUUUAUUACCAAAUAAUUUAUGAUUCUAUCAUAUAUAUUAUUGUGCUGGAGUUUAAAUCCGUUUACUCUUUUUUUUUUUUUUUUUUUUUUUUUUUUUUAACCGCUGAGAUAAUCCAAAGCUACUAUUCUAAAAACCAAUCAGAUUUACUGAAAAAUAAAAUAUGCGUAAAAAGCUACUUUGUGUAACAAAACUUCGUAAAAAGUUUACGAAGUAACCGUUAAUGUGACCAACAGCAGAAUCGAACUACAUCGCUAAUAUAUAAUACUAGUAUUAUUGAUGAUUAACUAGAUCUAACUAUUCAUUUUUCAAUUAAUUCAAUUAAAAACGUAGCCCCACCUAUUAUAAUAUAAUCUAUUAUAAUCUAUUAUAAUAUAGCAGAAUAAGAUUAUAAACUAAUUCCUGUUGGGGGUGAAAAUACAAAUGUUUCAUGAUUUACAACAAACUAAAUUAAAACUAACUUUUAAAAUUAGACACUGGAGACGGAAAGAGGAAUAAGAAAGAAAGUGGGCGGGGCUGUUUUAUAGUUUUUCUUUAUUAAAACACACAGGGGUGGGCGGAGCUACACAUCAUACCGCAACGAGCCAGCAGAGGUGCUAGACCUGUGGUGGUUUCACUGUUUAGCAAUAUAAAAUAAACUUUUAAAAUUAGACACUGGAGAUGAAAAGAGGAAUUAGAAGGAAAGUGGGCGGGGUUGUUUUCUUGUUUGUUUUUUUCAUUAAAACACACGGGUGGGCGGAGCUACACACUAUAUCGCAACCAGCCAGCAGAGGCGCUAGACUUGUGGUGGUUUCACUUUUAAAAGACUGUUUCCAUGUUUUUUACAGUCACUGGAUAAAAUUGAAGUGUCACGUACUUUUAAUAACCUUUAAUCAUCACUUUAAUCAUCUCACACUAUCUGCAUAUUAAUUUUAAUAUACAGCUGCUUGUAUUUUAGUGCUUGGUGUGAUGAAAAAAUGCAGUGUAUUUCUCAUUUUAGCCUAAAAGCUUUAUGAUAUAUCAGUCUGAGGGUAUCUCAAUUUUAAGAUUUUAAGCAUUUGUUUAAAAGCACAUUUUAUGUUUUGUACAUAAAGUUUUUUACAUGUUUUUCUUUUAAAUCUCUGCAUAACUGAGUGGUUAAAGGGUGUGUUACACUCAUUUUUAAAUGGAAUGCAUAAAAUAAAAAAAAUAAAAAUGCAUAAAAUUAUUUGAUCGGAUUUUUGACAAACUCUUGAUAUUCUAAUGCAGUAAUCAGAUUAUAAAAUGCAUAUAAAUGUUUUUAUCAGAUCACUGAUAAAAUCAGGUGUUUUGCACUGUUUGAAUUAUGAGUUGCAUGUUCACACAUUUUGAUCAAAAAAAAAAAAACCUAACAAACGCAAAAAUCCUGAUUUCUGCAAAAAUCCGUUUUCAGUAAUCCGAUCAAAUCAUUUACAUGCAUUUAUAAUCUGAUUACUUCAAAUCAUCAAAGCUGUAAAUGUAAAUGUGGUACCAAAUACUUCAUUUGUUAAUUAUAGCUGUAUUUUUGUUUUGUUUUUUACUGUAAAAACAAUUGAUUUUAGAUCAAUAAUUGUGGAAUCUUGUGCUGAAAUUCAGUUUAAGUGGUUAUUGGGUGUGUUUCACUCAUUUUUAAAUGGUGCGCAAUCAAGCCAUAAAUUUUAGCUCUGGCUUUUUUUUAGAGAAAUUGUGAAAUUAAAUUAAGGUACUAAACAAAAGCAUUUUCUACAAGUGACCAUGCAUCUUAAAUUCUGUUUUAUUGAUCAGUACAAAUUAUUUCAGUAAUUUUUUUUUUUAUGAUUGUAAUUAAUAAUUGCAUUUAUUAAAUCCUAAAGGAAAAAAAGUAUAAGAAACAUAAAUAAUUAAAUAAAAUAAUUGAAUAAAUAAAAAUCUAAAUAGAAUUUGGCAAAAAACUAAAUAUAUAAAAAUGUAUAAUGAUGUGUUUAGAGGUUUAAACUUAUUUUAUAGAAAAACAAUCUAUAUCAUUUUUUCCCCACACCCUAACUAUUUAAUUAUGCAGAUUUUUAUUAAAAAAUACAGUGUAAUUUCUUGUUUAAUUGUGAUAUUUUAUAUGUGUGUAUAUAUAUGGAUAGAAUGGCUCAAUGUUCACAGUUGUUACUUUUGAUUGAUUAUUUUCUUUUUAAAUCAUUUUAUUCAUUCCUUUUGUAUCAUUAUUCAGUUAUUCAGUAUUUAACGGGUAAUUGAUGAAUACCUGUCAGAUUAUCAGAUUAUCAGAUUAUGAGUGUGUGUAAAUGUGUUUUACUGGAUUACUGAUAUUUUAUAUAUGGGUUUUUUUCAUGUGUGUGGCGCCACCUGCUGGAGAACAGUAACAAAAACAACACGCUGAUUUAAAUAAUGAUUUACCACACUUCUACUUGUAGGACCAAAUACUGCAUUCGAGUGUCAUUACUUUUAACUGUAUUUUUAUUUUUACUGUAAAGAUCAGUAAUUGUAGAA